UGGGGAAUAUUGGACAAUGGGCGAAAGCCUGAUCCAGCCAUGCCGCGUGUGUGAAGAAGGUCUUCGGAUUGUAAAGCACUUUAAGUUGGGAGGAAGGGCAGGAAGCGAAUACCUGGCUGUUUUGACGUUACCGACAGAAUAAGCACCGGCUAACUCUGUGCGAGCAGGCGCGGUAAUACAGAGGGUGCAAGCGUUAAUCGGAAUUACUGGGCGUAAAGCGCGCGUAGGUGGUUCGUUAAGUUGAAUGUGAAAGCCCCGGGCUCAACCUGGGAACUGCAUCCAAAACUGGCGAGCUAGAGUAGGGCAGAGGGUGGUGGAAUUUCCUGUGUAGCGGUGAAAUGCGUAGAUAUAGGAAGGAACACCAGUGGCGAAGGCGACCACCUGGGCUCAUACUGACGCUGAGGUGCGAAAGCGUGGGGAGCAAACAGG
RNAcentral lists this ribosomal RNA (429 nucleotides) under Pseudomonadota bacterium. Its description in RNAcentral is "Proteobacteria bacterium partial 16S ribosomal RNA". It matches the Rfam family "Bacterial small subunit ribosomal RNA", at positions 355 to 776 of the family's 1533-position model. The record is from RNAcentral. Lineage: Bacteria; Pseudomonadati; Pseudomonadota.